GUGCCACUUCGGCAGCACAUGUACUAAAAUUGGAACGAUACAGAGAAGAUUAGCAUGGUCCCUGCACAAGGAUGACGCACAAAUUUGUGAAGCAUUUCAUAUUUUU
This is a small nuclear RNA of Mus spicilegus (steppe mouse), 106 nucleotides long. The record is from Ensembl. NCBI's taxonomy places the organism in Eukaryota, Metazoa, Chordata, Mammalia, Rodentia, Muridae.